AGAAGUAAAUCCAUACCUAUUUGUUGUGUAAUUGACUUCCUUUUUUUCUUAUUCCUGUUGUGACUUGUGCGCUAGCAGUACAACCAUGUAAUGUGAAUAAACAUCAGUACAAUCUCAACAUUCAUAUUUGUACCCGGAACAAAAUAUACAUAAUCCCAUGGGUAGACAAGCUAAAGGAAUCUAGUACAUUUUAAGUUCUUGGAAAUUCUGCAUUCACAUAACUUAACGUAUUCUUUUAUCCAUGAAAAGUAUCACAGAUGUCUUGACAUGAUCACUCGAAGAGGAUGCACCUGGUAGGUGAACCAACCUCAAGGGUAGACAGUGAAUUGUAUAAACUCCUGGGACUGCAUCAUCGUGGUUGAGACCUUCCACUGGAAUAAUAUCCUGAUGCAUAUAUAAACAAGAAACCUAUUGACAUUUCGUUAUCAAAUUUUAGGUUUUAUACACUGACAAUGAUACAUCAGUUCAAUUUAACCAACUACCAACAUGUUAUUACUCUAUUUUCCAAAUUACAGAUUAGACUUGCUACGUAGAGUUAUUUGUAAUUGUAGGUCAACUUUAUUAAACAAAUGGAUGUUAUACUUACUUUAGAAUGCAGAAGAUGAUGAUGAACUUUAAGGAGCUCAUCCUUGGGACUAAUGGCAACAAAUAAGAAAUCAACACCGACAAGCUUGAUGUCAGUAUUCUGAAUCAAAUACUCUGCUCCGUCUGAGGUGGAUGCUUCUUAACUAGAAGUGUAAUUUGGGUGUAUUAGUAAUUCAGUUGAUCGAUGGUUUCAACCAAUACUUAUAAGAAAUUAUUAAUCUCAAUAUAAUCCUCCUCUGUUUCAACCAUGUAAGCCUCUUGAUAACGAUCGAAAGAUCUUCUAAUCAUCUUAAAGGGAUAGUUUGUUGAGUGAGAAUAAUAUGAAAUAUUUCUCCAAUUUUGUAAGGAUCGACUUUGUUGAUUGUCUGCAAGAUCUUUCCUUAAAAACCUAUUCAUGGAAUCACAAUCACUCACAUAAACCACAAUAAAAUGAGUAGGCAAGUUACUCAAUGUUUAAUAACACUAAGUAAAGAUCAAAUAGAUAAAAACAAUAUUGGAUAUAUCUGAGAUCUUGAAAAGAACACAAUUAGUAGCUGAAAAUAAUGUAUAAUAAAUUUGAGUGAUUGACACUAACAUAAUGUAUAUUACCUAUUUCAUUUGGGAAGUUCAAGUUCUAUAUAUUUGGGGAAUUCAAUAUCUUGUAUUACUUUUAUUUUAUGCUUUAAAUUCACUGGUUUAUACUUGAAACUUAAAAAUAAAGUUCAAAGGCAACGAAAAUAUAUAAUAAUAUAUCAUCAACAUAAUUUAGUUGGAGAAUUUCUUGCCUAUUUCUUACUUUGCCAAAAUAAAAUGAGCUCAAUUCAACUGGAUAGUUGUGCAGAUACUUGGGCACCUUCUUGUAAUGGUAACAUAGUUACUAGAGACCAAAACAAGAAUGGGAUAUUGUCUUCUUAGAGUACAUCACAAUUGUGGCUGACAAACACAAAUAGCUCUGAAAAUUUGACACACUACUUAGUCUAGUUAUAUGUAAUCCACCACCAAAAAUCUGAUGUGCUCUAAGAUGACAACAUCACAUUCUUGUUUUCGUCUCCAUAACCAUGUUACCAUUCCAAGUAGGUGCCAAGUAUCUACACAACUAUCCAUAAAAACCCAACACAUGCUUUGUGGAGGGGUCACACAAAAUUAAAGUUAAAAGAAAUACUUCUCUUUUUUCCCUUUAUCAAUCCACUCUUCUUCUGUUAUUUUAUCCCCCUGAUGGUGUAGUAGAAUCACCGUUGAUGUUAGAUUUCUCCUUCUUGUGCUUGCCAACUGUUUUCACAUAAAAAUUCACCUCAUUCUUUGACCUGAAUUUACCCUCGGACACUGGUUCAUUAUAGGAUCUAUAAAAAAUUCCUGUAGUGGCUCCAGUGCUACAAAUUUUUGUUUCAAACCUACAAUUCUCUUCCAACCACUUUGGCCUAUCUAGAUUCACUCGACGCAUAGGCGCAAUUUUUCUCUGAAUCUGCAACAUACUCAGAGUUACAUCACACACCUUUCUUUCAUAAAAUACAUGACCUUUGUUUAGUGUGGUUGUCUCUAUCCUAACAUCCAACUUAACAUCAAUGUAGGUUCCUGACGGCAACGAAGGGUCUGAAGGUAUACCAUCAUUGCAGAAGUGGUCGCUAGUAAGAAUUAUCGAAGGGAUGGAAGUGACAGCGAAAUCAGCCUUAGUCAUUAGAGGAAGCUUUGAAAUAGUCAUUGUGGAGAAAAAAUUCUUAAUUUUGAAAAAUUUAUAAUGGACUUUUGCUCCACAUUUACUCUUUCAAAGCUUCCUCCGGUGACUAAGGUCGACGCCGAUGUCUCUUCCAUCCCACCAAUAAUUGUUACCAGCGAUGACUUAUGCAAUGAUGAUACACCAUCGGACUCGUUGUUGCUGUCGGGAAACUACAUUGAUGUUUUGUUGGAUGUUAGGGUAGAGAACACCACACCAAACAAAUGUGAUGUACCUAAUGAAGGAAAAGUGUCUGAUGUAACUCUGAGUAAGUAGCAGAUUCAGAGGAAGAUUACGCAUAUGCAUCAAGUGAAUCUAGAUAGGUCAAAGUGGUUGCCAGAGAAUUGGAGGUUUGGAAUAAAAGUUUGUACCAUAGGAGACACUAUAUAAAUUAUUGAUAGAUACUAUAUUGUGCCGAUACCCGGGGGUAUAUUCAGGUUAAAAAAUGAGGUGGAUUAUUUCAUGAAAAUAGGUAGCAAGCGUAAGAAGGCAAAACAAAUAUUGACGGUGAUGUUGAUACACUAUCUGAGGGGAAAACAGAAGAAGAGCGGCUUGGAAAAGGAUAGAAAUAAAAGUAGUUCUUUUGACUUCGAUUCUACGACUCCGCCUAGAACAUAUGUUGGGUUUUAUGGAUAGUUGUGCAGAUACUUGGCACCUUCUUGUAAUGGUAACAUAGUUCCUAGAGAAGAAAACAAGAAUGGGAUAUUGUCUUCUUAGAGUACAUCGCAUUUGUGGCUGACUACCACAACUAGCUCUGGAAAUUUGACACACUACCUAGUCUAGCUAUAUGUUUUCCACCACCACAAAUUUGAGGUGCUCUGAGAAGGCAACAUCCCAUUCUUGUUUUGGUCUCCAUAAACAUGUAACCAAUACAAGUAGGUGCCAAGUAUUUACACAACUAUCCAUAAAAACUCAACACAUGCUUUGUGGAGGAGGCACACCAAAUCGAAGUUAAAAGAAAUAAUUUUAUUUUUUUCUUUAUCUGUUCACUCUUCUUCUGUUAUUUUAUCCCCCCCCCCGAGGGUGUAGCAGCAUCACCGUUGAUGUUAGAUUAUUCCAUAUUGUGCUUGCCACCUAUUUUAAAGAAAAAAUUCACCUCAUUCUUUGACAUGAAUUUACCCUCGAACACUUGUUCAAUAUGGUUUCUACAAAAAAUUCAUGUAGUGGCUCAAGUGCUACAAAUUUUUGUUUCAAACCUACAAUUCUCUGGCAACAACUUUGGCCUAUCUAGAUUCACCCGACCCAUAGGUGUAAUUUUUCUCUUAAUCUACAACGUACUCAGAGUUACAUCAGACACUUUUAUUUCAUAAAAUACAUCACAUUUGUUUAGUUUGGUUGUCUCUAUCCUAUAUCCAACUUAACAUCAAUGUAGGUUCCUGACGGCAGCAACGAGUCUGAAGGUAUACCAUCAUUGCAGAAGUGGUCGCUAGUAAGAAUUAUCGAAGGAAUGGAAGAGACACUGAAAUCGGCCUUAGACAUUAGAGGAAGCUUUGAAAGAGUCAAUGUGGAGAAAAAGUUCUUAAUUUUGAAAAAUUAAUAAUGGACUUUUGCUCGACAUUGACUCUUUCAAAGCUUCCUCCGGUGACUAAGGUCGACGCCGAUGCCUGUUCCAUCCCACCGAUAAUUGUUACCAGCGACGAAUUAUGCAAUGAUGAUACACCUUCGAACUAGUUCUUGCCGUCGGGAACCUACAUUGAUGUUUUGUUGGAUGUUAGGGUAGAGAACACCACACCAAACAAAGGUGAUGUACAUAAUGAAGGAAAAGUGUCUGAUGUAACUCUGAGAAAGUUGCUGAUUUGGAGGAAGAUUACGCAUAUGCAUCAAGUGAAUCUAGAUAGGUCAAAGUGGUUUCCAUAGAAUUGGAGGUUUGGAAUAAAAGCUCGUAUUACAGGAGCCAAUACAUAAAUUAUUGAUAUAUACUAUAUGGAGCCGAUGCCCUAGGGUAAAUUCAGGUGAAAAAAUGAGGUGGAUUAUAUCCUAAAAAUACGUGGCAACCGUAAGAAGGCCACACAAAUAUUGACGGUGAUGUUGAUACACCAUCUGAGGGGAAAACAGAAGAAGAGCGGCUUGGAAAAGGAAAGAAAUAAAAGUAGUUCUUUUGACUUCGAUUCUACGAUUCCUCCUAGAACAUAUGUUGGGUUUUAUGGAUAGUUGUGCAGAUACUUAGGCACCUUCUUGUAAUGGUAACAUAGUUCCUAGAGACCUAAAAAAGAAUGGGAUAAUGUCUUCUUAGAGUACAUCGCAUUUGUGGCUGACAAACACAAAUAGCUCUGGAAAUUUUACACACUACCUAGUCUAGCUAUAUGUGUUCCACCACCACAAAUUUGAUGUGCUCUGAGACGACAACAUCCCAUUCUUGUUUUGGUCUCCAUAACCAUGUUACCAUUACAAGUAGGUGCCUAUUAUAUACAUAACUAUCCAUAAAAACCCAACACAUGCUCUGUGGAGGUGUCACACAAAUUCGAACUUCAAAGAAAUACUUUUCUUUGUUUCCUUUAUCAAUACACUCUUCUUCUGUUAUUUUAUUUCCCAGAUGGUGCAGCAGCAUCACCGUUGAUGUUAGAUUUUUCCUUCUUAUGCUUGCAAUCUGCUUUCAUGAAAAAAUUCACCUCAUUCUUUGUCCCGAAUUUACCCUCGAGCACUGGUUCGAUAUAGUAUCUAUAAGAAAUUCCCGUAAUGACUUAAGUGCUACAAUGUUUUGUUUCAAACCUCUAAUUCUCUCGCAACCACUUUGGCCUAUCUAGAUUCACCUGACACAUGUUUUGUUGGAUGUUAGGGUAGAGAACACCACACCAAACAAAGGUGAUGUACAUAAUGAAGGAAAAGUUUCUGAUGUAACUCUGAGUAAGUUACAGAUUCAGAGGAAUAUUACGCAUAUGCAUCAGGUGAAUCUAGAUAGGUUAAAGUGGUUGCCAUAGAAUUGGAGGUUUGGAAUAAAAGUUCGUAUUACAGGAGCCAAUACAUAAAUUAUUGAUAGAUACUAUAUGGAGCCGAUGCCCUAGGGUAAAUUCAGGUUAAAAAAUGAGGUGGAUUAUACCCUGAAAAUACGUGGCAACCGUAAGAAGGCCACACAAAUAUUGACGGUGAUGUUGACACACCAUCUGAGGGGAAAACAGAAGAAGAGCGGCUUGUAAAAGUAAAGAAAUAAAAGUAGUUCUUUUGACUUCGAUUCUACGACUCCGCCUAGAACAUAUGUUGGGUUUUAUGGAUAGUUGUGCAGAUACUUGGGCACCUUCUUAUAAUGGUAACAUAGUUCCUAGAGACCUAAAAAAGAAUGGGAUAUUGUCUUCUUAGAGUACAUCGCAUUUGUGGCUGACAAACACAAAUAGCUCUGGAAAUUUUACACACUACCUAGUCUAGCUAUAUGUGUUCCACCACCACAAAUUUGAUGUGCUCUGAGACGACAACAUCCCAUUCUUGUUUUGGUCUCCAUAACCAUGUAACCAUUACAAGUAGGUGACAAGUAUCUACACAACUAUCCAUAAAAACCUAACAUAUGCCCUGUGGAGGAGUCACACAAAAUCGAAGUUAAAAGAAAUACUUUUCUUUUUUUCCUUUCUCAAUCCACUCUUCUUCUGUUAUUUUAUCCCCCUGAUGGUGUAGCACCAUCACCGUUCAUGUUAGAUUUUUCCCUCUUUUGCUUGCCACCUAUUUUCGCGAAAAAAAUUGACCUCAUUCUUUGACCUGAAUUUGCCCUCGAACACUGGUUCAAUAUAAUAUCUAUAAAAAAUUGUUGUAGUGGCUCAAGUGCGACAAAUUUUGUUUCAAACCGCCAAUUCUUUUGCAAUCACUAUGGCUUAUCUAGAUUCACCCGACGCAUAGGACCAAUUUUUCUCUGAAACUGCAAUGUACUCAGAGUUACAUCAGACAUCUUUCUUUCAUAAAAUACAUCACCUUUUUUUAGUGUGGUUGUCUCUAUCCUAACAUCCAACUUAACAUCAAUGUAGGUUCCUGACGGCAACAACAAGUCUGAAGGUAUACCAUCAUAGCAGAAGUGGUCGCUAGUAGGAAUUAUCGAAGGGAUGGAAGAGACAGCGAAAUCGGCCUUAGUCAUUAGAGGAAGCUUUGAAACAGUCAAUGUGGAGAAAAAGUUCUUAAUUUUGAAAAAUUAAUAAUGGAAUUUUGCUCCACAUUGACUCUUUCAAAGCUUCCUCCAGUGACUAAGGUCGACGCCGAUGUCUCUUCCAUCCCACCAAUAAUUGUUACCAGCGAUGACUUAUGCAAUGAUGAUGCACCUUCGGACUCGUUGUUGCCAUCGGGAAUCUACAUUGAUGUUUUGUUCGAUGUUAGGGUAGAGAACACCACACCAAACAAAGGUGAUGUACCUAAUGAAGGAAAAGUGUCUGAUGUAACUCUGAGUAAGUUGCAGAUUCAGAGGAAGAUUCCGCAUAUGCAUCUGGUUAAUCUAGAUAGGUCAAAGUGGUUGCCAGAGAAUUGGAGGUUUGAAAUAAAAUUUCGUACCACAGGAGCCACUACAUAUAUUAUUGAUAGAUACUAUAUUUAGCCGACACUCAAGGGUAAAUUCAGGCUAAAAAAUGAGGAGGAUAAUUUCCUGAAAAUAGGUGGCAAGCUUAAGAAGGCUAAAUACUGACGGGGAUGUUGAUACACCAUGUGAGGGGAAAACAGAAGAAGAGCGGCUUGGAAAAGGAAAGAAACAAAAGUAUUUCUUUUGACUUCGAUUCUACGACUCCGCCUAGAACAUAUGUUGGGUUUUAUGGAUAGUUGUGCAGAUACUUGGGCACUUUCUUGUAAUGGUAACAUAGUUCACAGAGACCCAAAAAGGAAUUGGAUAUUGUCUUCUUAGAGUACAUCGCAUUUUUGUCUAUCAAACACAAAUAUCUCUGGAAAUUUGACACACUACCUAGUCUAGCUAUAUGUGUUCCACCACCAGAAAUCAGAUGUGCUCUGAGACGACAACAUCACAUUCUUGAUUUGUUCUCCAUAACCUUGUUAUCAUUACAUGUAGGUGCCAAGUAUCUACAGAUCUAUCCAUAAAAACCCAACACAUGCUCUGUGGAGGUGUGACAAAAAUUCGGACUUAAAAUAAAUACUUUCCUUUUUUUCUUUUAUCAAUCCACUCUUCUUCUGUUAUUUUAUCCCUCAGAUAGUGUAGCAGCAUCACCGUUGAUGUUAGAUUUUUCAUUCCUAUGCUUGCCACCUGUUUUAAUAAAAAAUUCACCUAAUUCUUUGACUUGAAUUUUCCCUCGAGCACUAGUUCAAUAUAGUAUAUAUAAAAAAUUCAUGUAGUGGCUCAGGUGCUACAAACUUUUGUUUCAAACCUACAAUUAUCUCGCAACCACUUUGGCCUAUCUAGAUUCACCCGACGCAUAGGCCCAAUUUUUCUCUGAAUUUGCAAUGUACUCAAAGUUACAUCACACACCUUUCUUUCAUAAAAUACAUCACCUUUAUUUAGUGUGGUUGUCUCUAUCCUAACAUCCAACUUAACAUCAAGUUAGGUUCCUGACGGCAACAACGGGUCUGAAGGUAUACCAUCAUUGCAGAAGUGGUCGCUAGUAAGAAUUAUCAAAGGGAUGAAAGAGACAGCGAAAUCGGCCUUAGUCAUUAGAGGAAGCUUUGAAAGAGUGAAUGUGGAGAAAAAGUUCUUAAUUUUGAAAAACUAAUAAUGGACUUUUGCUCCACAUUGACUCUUUCAAAGCAGCCUCCGGUGACUAAGGUCGACGCCGAUGUCUCUUCCAUCUCACCAAUAAUUGUUAUCAGCGACGACUUAUGCAAUGAUGAUACACCUUCAACUUGUUGUUGCCGUCGGGAACCUACAUUGAUGUUUUGUUUGAUGUUACGGUAGAGAAUACCACACCAAACAAAGGUGAUGUACCGAAUGAAGGAAAAGUGUCUGAUGUAACUCUGAGUAAGUUACAGAUUCAAAGGAAGAUUACGCAUAUGCAUCAGGUGAAUCUAGAUAGGUCAAAGUGGUUGCUAGAGAAUUGGAGGUUUGGAAUAAAAGUUCGUACCACAGGAGCCACUAUAUAAAUUAUUUAUAGAUACUAUAUUGAGCCGAUGUCCGGGGUUAAAUUCAGGUUAAAAAAUGAGGUGGAUUAUUUCUUGAAAAUUGGUAGCAAGCUUAAGAAGGCUAAAUAAUGACGGUGAUGUUGAUACACCAUCUGAGGGGAAAACAGAAGAAGAGCGGCUUGGAAAAGGAAAGAAAUAAAAGUAGUUCUUUUGACUUUGAUUCUAUGACUCCGCCAAUAACAUAUGUUGGGUUUUAUGGAUAGUUGUGCAGAUACUUGUGCACCUUCUAGUAAUGGCAUCAUAGUUCCUAGAGACCUAAAAAAGAAUGGGAUAUUGUCUUCUUAGACUACAUCGCAUUUGUGGCUGAUAAACACAAAUAGCUCUGGAAAUUUGAAACACUACCUAGUCUAGCUAUAUGUGUUCCACCACCACAAAUCAGAUCUGCUCUGAGACGACAACAGCACAUUCUUGUUUUGGUCUCCAUAACCAUGUCACCAUUACAUGUUGGUGCCAAGUAUAUACACAACUAUCCAUAAAAACCCAACACAUGCUCUGUGGAGGUGUCACACAAAAUCGAAGUUUAAAUAAAUACCUUUCUUUUUACCCUUUAUCAAUCCACUCUUCUUCUAUUAUUUUAUAUCCCCGAUGGUGUAGCAGCAUCACCGUUGAUGUUAGAUUUUUCCUUAUUGUACUUGCCACCUGUUUUCACGAAAAAAUUCAUCUCAUUCUUUGACUUGAAUUUACCCUCGAACACUUGUUCAGUAUAAUAUCUACAAAAAGUUCCUGUAGUGGCUCAAGUGCUACAAACUUUUGUUUCAAACCUCCAAUUCUCUGGCAACCACUUUGGCCUAUCUAGAUUUACCCAACGCAUAGGUGCAAUUUUUCUCUGAAUCUGCAACGUACUCAAAGUUACAUCAGACACCUUUCUUUCAUAAAAUACAUCACAUUUGUUUAGUGUGGUUGUCUCUGUCCUAACAUCCAACUUAACAUCAAUGUAGGUUCCUGACGUUAACAACGGGUCUGAAGGUAUACCAUCAUUGCAGAAUUGGUCGCUAGUAAGAAUUAUCGAAGGGAUGGAAGAGACAGCGAAAUCUGCCUUAGUCAUUAGAGGAAGCUUUGAAAUAGUUAAUGUGGAGAAAAAGUUCUUAAUUUUGAAAAAUUAAUAAUGGACUCCACUUUGACUCUUUCAAAGCCUCCUCCGGUGACUAAGGUCGAUGCCGAUGUCUCUUCCAUCCCGCCAAUAAUUAUUACCAGCGACGACUUAUGCAAUGAUGAUACACCUUCGGACUCAUUGUUGCCAUAUGGAACCUACAUUGAUGUGUUGUUGGAUGUUAGGGUAGAGGACACCACACCAAACAAAGGUGAUGUACCUAAUGAAGGAAAAGUGUUUGAUGUAACUGUGAGUAAGUUGCAGAUUCAGAGGAAGAUUACGCAUACGCAUCAGGUGAAUCUAGAUAGGUCAAUGUGGUUGCCAGAGAAUUGGAGGUUUGGAAUAAUAGUUCAUACCACAGGAGCCACUACAUAAAUUAUUGAUAGACACUCUAUUGAGCCGAUGCCCGGGGGUAAAUUUAGGUAAAAAAAAUUAGGUGGAUUAUUUCCUGAAAAUAGGUGGCAAGCUUAAGAAGGCUAAAUAUUGAUGGGGAUGUUGAUACACCAUCUGAGGGGAAAAGAGAAGAAGAGCGGCUUGGAAAAGGAAAGAAAUAAAAAGUAGUUCUUUUGAUUUCGAUUCUACGACUCCGCCUAGAACAUAUGUUGGGUUUUAUGGAUAGUUGUGCAUAUAUUUGGGCACAUUAUUGUAAUGGUAACAUAGUUCCUAGAGACCCAAAAAUGAAUUGGCUAUUUUUUUCUUCGAGUACAUCGCAUUUGUGGCUAACAAACACAAAUAGCUCUGGAAAUUUGACAGACUACCUAGUCUAGCUAUAUGUAUUCCACCACCAGAAAUCAGAUGUGCUCUGAGAUGACACUAUCAUAUUCUUGUUUUGUUCUCUAUAACCGUGUUACUAUUACAGGUAGGUUCCAAGUAUCUACAUAUCAAUCCAUAAAACCCCAACACAUGCUCUGUGGAGGUGUCACACAAAUUCGAACUUAAAAUAAAUACCUUUCUUUUUUUCCUUUAUCAAUCCACUCUUCUUCUAUUAUUUUAUCCCCCAGAUGGUGUAGCAGCAUCACCGUUGAUGUUAGAUUUUGGAGGAAGAUUACGCAUAUGCAUCAGGUGAAUCUAGAUAGGUCAAAGUGGUUGCCAUAGAAUUGGAGGUUUGGAAUAAAAGUUCGUACCACAGGAGCCACUACAUAAAUUAUUGAUAGAUACCAUAUUGAGCCGAUGCCCAGGGGUAAAUUCAGGUUAAAAAAUGAGGUGGAUUAUUUCCUGAAAAUAGGUGGCAAGCAUAAGAAGGCAAAACAAAUAUUGACGGUGAUGUUGAUACACCAUCUGAGGGGAAAACAGAAGAAGAGCGGCUUGGAAAAGGACAGAAAUAAAAGUCGUUCUUUUGACAUCGAUUCUACGACUCCGCCUAGAACAUAUGUUGGGUUUGAUGGAUAGUUGUGCAGAUACUUCGGCAGAUACUUGGCCACCUUCUUCUAAUGGUAACAUAGUUCCUAGAGACCUAAAAAAGAAUGGGAUAUUGGCUUCUUAGAGUACAUUGGAUUUGUGGCUGAGAAACACAUAUAGCUAAACUAGGAAGUUUGUCAAGUUCCAAUUGAAUUGGUCUCAUUUUAUUUUGGUAUAGAAAGAAAAUAGGAAAAAAAUUCUCCACCUAAACUAUGUUCAUGAUAUAAUAUUAUAUAUUGUCAGUGCCUUUGAACUUUUAUUUUAUGUUUCAAGUAUCAACCAAUAAAUUUAAAAGAACAAAAGAAAAUCAAAAGUAAUACAAUUUAUUGAACUCCUCAAAUAUAAUGAACUUUAACUUCUCAUAUGAAAUAGGAAAAAUACAUUAACUUGCCUACUCAUUUUACUAGUUUUAUUGUGCUUAAUGUGAGCGCUAGUGAUUCAAUGAAUAGUCUUUUAAGGACAGAUCUAGCAGACAAUCCAAGAAGCCGAUCCGUGCAUAAUUGGAGAAAUAUGUCAUAUUAUUCUCACUAAACAAGAGAUCCAUCUAAAUAUGAUUAGAAGAUCUUUUGAUCGUCAUCAAGAGGCUUAGAUGGUGGAAAAAGAGAAGAAUUCUAUACUUAAAAUAAUAAUGUCUUAUAAGUAUUGAUUGAAACCAUCGAUCAACUAAAUUACUAAUGCGCUCAAAUUACACCUCCGGUUAAGAAGUAUAACACGGUCGCUAUCAAACAUAAGGUUGAUUUAGGCACACUUAAUCCAUUUGCAAGCUUUGGUGGAAAUACAUAUGCACCACCUUUUGAUACUUUGUCCUUUUCAUCUAGGCUAGUUCUUGUGUUAAGUGAUAGCUUCUUUGAACAUGUCUUAUUUCUAGUAGAUUCUCCUUUUUAAUUUUAUAAGGGAGAGUCUCUUAUUUAUGAUUCUCUAGAUACUUUGUAUUUGAGAGGAGUCCUCUCUUCUUAGGUGCGUAGUAAUUCUAGGUUCCUCUUCUAGUAUCAAUAAUGAGUUGAUCAUCAUUGGUAAAAUAACCAACUUAUGAACCAAGUCUAAUUAAGCUUCUACUAGUGAUAUAACAAUAUGUGUUGGUACUCGAGUCCUUAUCUUAUUUCUUUGUGCACUUAAUUUUUGAUACAUUGUUGCUCGAAGUAAAACAAAACUUGAGAAUAGCAAAAAUAGUACUCAUCAGGCAGAAGUACUUCUACAAGCAUCCAAGAGAAGUUCAUAGCAUUUGAGGUAUUCUCGACCGACCAAACUACUAAGCAAAUUACUUCCCAACAGAAUAUUAAGAAAACUAAAACCUUAUUUGAUUAAUUCAAAUUCAGUGGCCAAGAGGCAAGAUUCCCAAAAAUAUAUAUGCUUUGUUCAACUUACAAAAGGCUGGCAUAUCAACAAUUCUAACAGGAUGUAAAAAUCACAAAAGUACAAUCUAAAGUUUUCCAUGUAAAAAAGAAUGAUCAUCAUGUGAUUCCACAUUUGGCUAUGAGGCACAUACAAAAGCCUGUGGAGCCUAUCUGACAGAAAAAUUCUGUACAUUUCACUUGGGAAUACUCCUACAUAGUACAGGCACAAAACAUAAGCUUUGUUUGAAUAAUUUCCAGAUUCUACAAAUAUUAAACAGUUUCAGCAUAGCAAUCACAAACAUGUCAUGGAGAAGUCCUAAAUUUCAAUACCAGACAAGGAUAUGAGACCACACUAAUAAAUGAAAACUCAGCAAGUACUUGUUUGUGCACAAUCCUUGUCCAAGCAUUUAAGAACAUAACAUCAAUGCGAUAGUGGAGGAUAGACUCCAGGGUAUUGACUUGGAAAGACAACAAAAGUAUAUAGUUAACUGUAAUUGGCAUGCCAGGGGAGAGUAGGAAAUUCACAUCUUACAAGAAUAUUUACCUGGAGGAUAGGAGUAACCCUAUGGUGGAUAAGGCAAAGGCGGAUAUGCAGGUGAUGACUGAGGUGAAGGAUAAGCAGCCGAUUGAGGGUGAUAAGGAGAUGCUGGAUGAUAUGCUGCUGGAGGGGGUGGGACUGUGGGAUAAGGAGAAGCUGGAUAAAAUGCUGAAGGAGGCGAGGCUGUGGAAUAAGGAGAUGGUGCUGGAUAGCCAGAAGGUGUUGGGUGAGAAGCUACAUGUGGUGUUACAUAUGGAGUGCCUGAUUGAGCAUGACUUGAACCUCAACUACCCCUAAUUCUUCACCCAACUUGAAGCCAACAUGUGACCCAAUUGUGUCUAGUAUGCCUAAAGGUCUAUAAGUCUCUUUGUAGAAAGAGCUGAUCCAUGACUCCGAUUGGACAACCAGAAGUAGACAAUUAAUAGGGAGAAAGUUGAACAAAAAAAUUUUCAACCCUUGUACAGAAUAUAGAUAUCUUAUAAAAGCCUAAGUGCCAUCUGCAUCAGUUGGAACUUAUAGACAGGUCUAUGUUAAUCAAUAAUGAUGAAAUGAAGAACUUUAGUGAUGAAUGUAAGGAAUUACAUCAUAACCAUACGUCCCAGACCUUGGUGUCGCAAAUUGUCAUAUUAAUGUCAAAUGAAAGAGUGGAAGCACAAUGUAGAAGAUUGUCAUAGAUACAAGCAACAAAAGACACAAAUUCAAACUAAGAAGGACCAUAAACACAAUUCUCGCCGCAAAAGAAAGACCAUAGCAAAUUCAUCUAGAAAUGAACUACGUAGCAGUUGUUUUUAUCAAUUUACUGGCCAAGAAGUAUCAUCAAAUCCCUGUGAGAGAACCUUCUAUAGUUGAACCCUAGAAUUAAAUUAAGUAAUUUAAGGAUUAACACUCAACUAACAAACUAAAUAGAUCAUUCAAUCAACUAAGCAACAAUUCCAAAUCAGUAUUGCUAUUGCACAGAACAAUGUUGAUCUCUCGCAACCUUCAAUGAGUGAAAACACAAAUUUCUCUUGAAACGUAGGGUUUUUUACGCCAUCUAGCAGAACCAAAGCAUGAAUCUCAUCAAAAUUCACCAAAAAUGAAAGUAACCCCAUUCAAUUUGUACCUGUACAUGUACGAGUACGGAAUUUAGAAAUCCAUUCGGUAUCCUUCAAUUUAUUACAAGCAACACCUACAAAAAUGAGAAUUCAAAGCAAAUAAUGAAAAGUAAUUCAUAAAAUCUCAGUAUUUUUGCUAUAGUUGAAUGAAGUUCGUACCUGUUACUUCAAGGAGUUGGUCUUGGAUGCCAUAUGGUAUCGACAUGGAAAGUAGAAGAAGACAAGGAUGAGGAGGAAUUUAUGUUUAAAAUUAGCUAUAAAAAAAAAGGGGGUUUUUAUUUUAUAAAGAGAACAAAUCAACCAAUAGGAGGUUUCGUGUUC
RNAcentral lists this long non-coding RNA (14077 nucleotides) under Solanum tuberosum (potato). RNAcentral describes it as "long non-coding RNA (STUB_LNC010008)". Lineage: Eukaryota; Viridiplantae; Streptophyta; Magnoliopsida; Solanales; Solanaceae. The record is from RNAcentral.